This 85-nucleotide transfer RNA is filed under the name Verrucomicrobiota bacterium. RNAcentral's name for it is "Verrucomicrobia bacterium (activated sludge metagenome) tRNA-Ser". It matches the Rfam family "tRNA". From Rfam's summary of the family: Transfer RNA (tRNA) molecules are approximately 80 nucleotides in length. Their secondary structure includes four short double-helical elements and three loops (D, anti-codon, and T loops). Further hydrogen bonds mediate the characteristic L-shaped molecular structure. tRNAs have two regions of fundamental functional importance: the anti-codon, which is responsible for specific mRNA codon recognition, and the 3' end, to which the tRNAs corresponding amino acid is attached (by aminoacyl-tRNA synthetases). tRNAs cope with the degeneracy of the genetic code in two manners: having more than one tRNA (with a specific anti-codon) for a particular amino acid; and 'wobble' base-pairing, i.e. permitting non-standard base-pairing at the 3rd anti-codon position. The record is from RNAcentral. Lineage: Bacteria; Pseudomonadati; Verrucomicrobiota.
GGAAGAGUGGCAGAGUGGCCUAUUGCGGCAGUCUUGAAAACUGUUGUUGGGCAACCAACCGUGGGUUCGAAUCCUACCUCUUCCG